UACGUAGGGGGCUAGCGUUGUCCGGAAUCAUUGGGCGUAAAGAGUACGUAGGCGGUUUGCCAAGUUUGGUGUGAAAUCUCCUGGCUUAACCGGGAGGGUGCGCCGAAUACUGGCGGGCUUGAGUAUUGGAGAGGAAAGCGGAAUUCCUGGUGUAGCGGUGAAAUGCGUAGAUAUCAGGAGGAACACCGGUGGUGUAGACGGCUUUCUGGACAAUCACUGACGCUGAGGUACGAAAGCGUGGGUAGCAAACAGG
Molecule: ribosomal RNA, 253 nt
Filed under: uncultured bacterium
Lineage: Bacteria
Description: partial 16S ribosomal RNA
Rfam family: Bacterial small subunit ribosomal RNA
Source: RNAcentral